Molecule: ribosomal RNA, 253 nt
Filed under: uncultured bacterium
Lineage: Bacteria
Description: partial 16S ribosomal RNA
Rfam family: Bacterial small subunit ribosomal RNA
Source: RNAcentral
UACGUAGGGUGCAAGCGUUGUCCGGAAUUAUUGGGCGUAAAGAGCUCGUAGGCGGUUUGUCGCGUCGGCUGUGAAAUCCCGAGGCUCAACCUCGGGCCUGCAGUCGAUACGGGCAAACUAGAGUGUGGUAGGGGAGAUUGGAAUUCCUGGUGUAGCGGUGAAAUGCGCAGAUAUCAGGAGGAACACCGGUGGCGAAGGCGGUUCUCUGGGCCUGUACUGACGCUGAGGAGCGAAAGCGUGGGGAGCGAACAGG